Molecule: ribosomal RNA, 623 nt
Filed under: uncultured bacterium
Lineage: Bacteria
Description: bacterial SSU rRNA
Rfam family: Bacterial small subunit ribosomal RNA
Source: RNAcentral
CCUACGGGAGGCAGCAGUGGGGAAUUUUGGACAAUGGGCGCAAGCCUGAUCCAGCAAUGCCGCGUGAGUGAAGAAGGCCUUCGGGUUGUAAAGCUCUUUUGUCAGGGAAGAAACGGUGAAGGCUAAUAUCCUUUGCUAAUGACGGUACCUGAAGAAUAAGCACCGGCUAACUACGUGCCAGCAGCCGCGGUAAUACGUAGGGUGCAAGCGUUAAUCGGAAUUACUGGGCGUAAAGCGUGCGCAGGCGGUUUUGUAAGUUUGUCGUGAAAUCCCCGGGCUCAACCUGGGAAUGGCGAUGAAGACUGCAAGGCUAGAAUCUGGCAGAGGGGGGUAGAAUUCCACGUGUAGCAGUGAAAUGCGUAGAGAUGUGGAGGAACACCGAUGGCGAAGGCAGCCCCCUGGGUCAAGAUUGACGCUCAUGCACGAAAGCGUGGGGAGCAAACAGGAUUAGAUACCCUGGUAGUCCACGCCCUAAACGAUGUCUACUAGUUGUCGGGUUUUAAUUAACUUGGUAACGCAGCUAACGCGUGAAGUAGACCGCCUGGGGAUACGGUCGCAAAGNUUAAAACCGUUAAGAGUAGUACGGCGNGAGAGAGCGACGACGACGACGACGGAGGAGGAGG